UAAUACGGAGGGUGCAAGCGUUAUCCGGAUUCACUGGGUUUAAAGGGUGCGUAGGCGGAUUAAUAAGUCAGAGGUGAAAGCCCGGAGCUCAACUUCGGAAUUGCCUCUGAAACUGUUGAUCUUGAGUUUGGUUGAUGUGGGCGGAAUAUGUCAUGUAGCGGUGAAAUGCGUAGAUAUGACAUAGAACACCAAUUGCGAAGGCAGCUCACUAAACCAAUACUGACGCUGAGGCACGAAAGCGUGGGGAGCGAACAGGAUUAGAUACCCUGGUAGUCCACGCCGUAAACUAUGAUUACUCGAUUUAUAUACUUUUGUAUGUGAGUCCAAGCGAAAGCGUUAAGUAAUCCACCUGGGAAGUACGGUCGCAAGACUG
This 373-nucleotide ribosomal RNA is filed under the name uncultured Bacteroidota bacterium. RNAcentral's name for it is "bacterial SSU rRNA". It matches the Rfam family "Bacterial small subunit ribosomal RNA", at positions 521 to 896 of the family's 1533-position model. Lineage: Bacteria; Pseudomonadati; Bacteroidota. The record is from RNAcentral.